GACUGGGUAGCACAGUGGUUAGUGCAGUCUGCCGGAAACAGAAACACGCGGGUUCAAUUCCCGUCCGAUGUCA
This is a non-coding RNA of Nippostrongylus brasiliensis, 73 nucleotides long. Lineage: Eukaryota; Metazoa; Nematoda; Chromadorea; Rhabditida; Heligmosomidae. The record is from Rfam.